RNAcentral lists this ribosomal RNA (537 nucleotides) under uncultured bacterium. RNAcentral's name for it is "bacterial SSU rRNA". It matches the Rfam family "Bacterial small subunit ribosomal RNA", at positions 777 to 1317 of the family's 1533-position model. The record is from RNAcentral.
AAUAGAUACCCAGGUAGUCCACGCCGUAAACGUUGGGCACUAGGUGUGGGGUCUAUUCAACGGACUCCGUGCCGUAGCUAACGCAUUAAGUGCCCCGCCUGGGGAGUACGGCCGCAAGGCUAAAACUCAAAGGAAUUGACGGGGGCCCGCACAAGCAGCGGAGCAUGUUGCUUAAUUCGAGGCAACGCGAAGAACCUUACCUGGGUUUGACAUGUAGAGAAAAGCCAUAGAGAUAUGGUGUCCUGGGUUCUACACAGGUGGUGCAUGGUUGUCGUCAGCUCGUGUCGUGAGAUGUUGGGUUAAGUCCCGCAACGAGCGCAACCCUUGUCCUAUGUUGCCAGCACGUCAUGGUGGGGACUCGUAGGAGACUGCCGGGGUCAACUCGGAGGAAGGUGGGGACGACGUCAAAUCAUCAUGCCCCUUAUAUCCAGGGCUGCAAACAUGCUACAAUGGCCGGUACAAAGGGCUGCGAAACCGCGAGGUGGAGCGAAUCCCAUAAAGCCGGUCUCAGUUCGGAUUGGAGUCUGCAACUCGACU